AUAGAAAUUAACUGCAAGAGCCUGUAGAGAGGGAUAAAGUCUACUGAGAGGAACACCACUGCCUUCCUUUUCACAUUUGACAAACUAACGCACCAAAAUUAACCAGAGUUUUGUUAGGUAGCUUUAAAUUUGAGCUUGGGGCUUGUGUCAGACUGGUCUAUCAUUGUAUCUAUUCCAGAGCAAGAUUUCUACUGCAAACUAAAUAAAAAUUAAAUUGCAUUAAAAAAAACAUUUGUUUACUAGCUUAAAACAACAACACAUAUAACAAAUAACACGUUUUCUAAUUGUAACACAAUUUUAAGUUAAAGUUAAGCAUCAGGGCCAUAAUUUGUAUUUUUCAUUAGUAACAGCUUAUGUUUUGUAGCUCAACUUCUGACAGUUUUGGAUGCUGACCACUGCAUUGUAUUUCAUAUCAUAUCAGCUGCAUAUGAAGAUGCAUAAAUUGGAUUGACAUUAAACAUCUUGUUCAAAGAUUCCUCUCCUGAUUUUCUUACUGGAAUCUGCUCCAUAUUUAGCCACCUCAACCAGCUAAACCUUAAAUGUAGUGAAGCUAACUACAACCAGAACAUCAAUCUUAUCGCUUUGACAUGUACUGUAUGACUUUUAUUUGAAUGAAUAAUACUAUAACAUCUUACAAUGUUGAUACUUCUUUUUAGUUCCUGCUUAGAACUUCUCGUAAAGGACAAUGCUGUUAAUAAACUUGCAGUAAAGCUGA
Molecule: non-coding RNA, 715 nt
Organism: Misgurnus anguillicaudatus (oriental weatherfish)
Lineage: Eukaryota; Metazoa; Chordata; Actinopteri; Cypriniformes; Cobitidae
Source: RefSeq, a predicted model, not a curated record